GCUUCAAUCAAUUGGUACUUCAAUAUCUAUAUAAUCCCAAGGGGUUCUUCUUCUUGCCUUCCAUUUCAGAGCCCUUCCUUUGCUAGUCGGUGGGAACCCAUUAAUGCCUAAGAUGUUUGGUGAUAGCUCAGAGCUUUCUCAGAAGUCCUCCCAAAUUAAGGAAGAUGACAAGUUCUUCUCUAGGCUUCUUUCCAAAGAAAGCUCCAUGGCUAACCAUUCUUUUCGCGUGUAUUAUGGUGGUGUUACUGUUGCAGUCCCAUUCAUGUGGGAGUCACAGCCAGGUACCCCUAAGCAUUCCUUCGGUGAAAGUACUCUCCCUCCACUCACUCCUCCUCCUUCAUACUAUUCAAAUUCUAACCAAAAACCCAUCAAGAAACACUACUCAAGAUCCAAUCUCUUGAACUUUCUGUUCUCAAGAAUCAACCCCAAGAAAACCAAUAAUGCCACUUCUUCUUCUGCUUUAUCGCCAACACCAUCUUCUGCUUCAUGGUCGUCAUUGAACUCUUCUAGUUUUCUUCCAUCUACACCUCACGAACGGAAAAGGUUUUCUAGCCUUGGCUCAUCAUUUGAUUCAAGGGCAUAUGAUGAAGAAGCAGCCUUUGGAUCACCUACUUCAAAUCAUCUGUGUUUUGGAGAUGGUAGAAGAAAUAGAAAUGGGUUUAAUCUUAAAGGAUGCUACGCUUGGUGGUGAAACAAUCGUAAUAAUUUGGAUUUGGUCAUGGAUCUGGCUGCCGUAGGUGAAAAAUCUGUACCUGUUUGUCCCUUUUUUUUUUUUGAGUUUUCGGCAGCCUUCUUCUUCUAUGGUAGUGGCUUCAACUGCCAAAAUCACUAAAAUGUAUUUCAUGAAUGUUAUUUCUUGAAACAUUGCUUUAUCUUUUUCUGAUAUAUGUAUCUAAAUUCUGCAGUUCAGACUUGACA
This 918-nucleotide unclassified non-coding RNA is filed under the name Hevea brasiliensis (rubber tree). Lineage: Eukaryota; Viridiplantae; Streptophyta; Magnoliopsida; Malpighiales; Euphorbiaceae. The record is from RNAcentral.